RNAcentral lists this long non-coding RNA (356 nucleotides) under Brassica napus (rape). RNAcentral describes it as "long non-coding RNA (BNAP_LNC004308)". The record is from RNAcentral. Lineage: Eukaryota; Viridiplantae; Streptophyta; Magnoliopsida; Brassicales; Brassicaceae.
CUUUGAUUGAUCGAGCGAUAAAAUUGUGUAAGACCAAACGGCUCGUGACGAACGGCGGAACGGGAUGCAGUACCAACACUGGCUCCCCCAUCACCAGUGUUCAUCUUUCUCACUAUCCCCACCAUAUGAUUCAUGGUAGCCUCAAGACUCCAAAAAUUUCAGUCAUACAAACCUUCAUCUUUUGGAACUCAUCGUACAUUUGGCGGAGGAGAUUGGUCCAUUUUGGAUUCGGUUAUCUUGAUUAGACCAUUUGUUUCGCAUCACUCUCUCUCGCAAAUCAUGCCAGCCUCGUUCUCUAUCUGUACUCUUUUGGUCAAAAGUUGUAUUCUCAUCAUCGGAUCACAACCCACACUAAU